This 454-nucleotide ribosomal RNA is filed under the name uncultured bacterium. Its description in RNAcentral is "bacterial SSU rRNA". It matches the Rfam family "Bacterial small subunit ribosomal RNA", at positions 340 to 786 of the family's 1533-position model. The record is from RNAcentral.
UACGGAAGGCAGCAGGGGGAAUAUUGCACAAUGGGCGAAAGCCUGAUGCAGCUAUGCCGCGUGUAUGAAGAAGGCCUUAGGGUUGUAAAGUACUUUCAUCGGGGAGGAAAAAACAAAACUAAUAAUUUUAUUUCUUGACGUUACCCGAAAAAGAAGCACCGGCUAACUCCGUGCCAGCAGCCGCGGUAAUACGGAGGGUGCUAGCGUUAAUCAGAAUUACUGGGCGUAAAGAGCACGUAGGUGGUUUUUUAAGUCAGAUGUGAAAUCCCUGGGCUUAACCUAGGAACUGCAUUUUGAAACUGAAAUACUAGAGUAUCGUAGAGGGAGGUAGAAUUCUAGGUGUAGCGGUGAAAUGCGUAGAUAUCUGGAGGAAUACCUGUGGCGAAAGCGGCCUCCUAAACGAAUACUGACACUGAGGUGCGAAAGCGUGGGGAGCAAACAGGGAUUAGAUACC